UGAGAGAGAAACCUCAAGCUUUUCUCUAUCUCCAAACCGAACCGUCCUCUUCUUCCUUCUCCGCCUCUGACCAGAACCCGACCCUUCUCUGGCUCUUCCCCCAAACCUUAUCCCUCUCUCUGCCCCGUCCUAAUCGAACCAAAACCUCAAAGCCCCAGAAAACAAAUUCGCAGAGAUCUCUUUAUGGCUCAUCUCCGAGGUGCAACCUGGCGUUGACUCAUCAGAGGAAGGUGAAGAAUAUGGUGGCCACGGUGAGCCCACCCCGCUGGUCGGAGAUCGGUGACGGAGGAGAGAGUCCUCCAGAUCCACUUUCUCUCUCCUCCCUCUCUCUUUCAGAAAAAGAUUGAAAGGAUUGAUUUUGAAUCAAAGAUUUAGGAAUGGCUUCAAGAGUCGUUGAUCAACAACAAGCCAGAGGAGCACUACUUUUGGCCUUCAGACAGCAUUGCUCUGGAGAAAUUUGAGAUAAAGUGGCAUGAAGUAACAAACCAAGUGGGUGAACAGAUCACCUCGAGUACUAUUUUGGAACUAUAUGGUGGAAUGUUGCAUAAAGAGUCUUUGGGAGAUCGAGCGUGGAGUACCAAGCAUUAAUGCAGCAAGCUAUAUUUUGUUUCAUCAUGUAAAACUUAACCAGGAAACUUAAAUGCUUUUUAGUCUAUCCAAUGUAUGAAUGCUUUAGCAAUGUUCCUUAAAUUCAAUAUUUGAUGAAUUGAUGUAUCCCAAUGACUUUGGUACAAAUGUUGAUCAUUUGAUGGUUUGCAUUCAA
Molecule: long non-coding RNA, 763 nt
Organism: Rosa rugosa (rugosa rose)
Lineage: Eukaryota; Viridiplantae; Streptophyta; Magnoliopsida; Rosales; Rosaceae
Exons: 4
Source: RefSeq, a predicted model, not a curated record